This 616-nucleotide small RNA is filed under the name Pan troglodytes (chimpanzee). Its description in RNAcentral is "retained intron". Lineage: Eukaryota; Metazoa; Chordata; Mammalia; Primates; Hominidae. The record is from RNAcentral.
AAUCGCGGCCACCGCCAGGUGGAACGGCAGGUGGGUUCAGGUACCAGCCUGGCCGGGACCCGGCUGUGGGACCAACGCUUCCGGUGAGCGACAGAGGCAGCUCCCCAGGGCCUGGAGACGCGUGGGGCGGACUCUGGGAUCUGAGCCCAUCGCCCUGGCCUGGAGUCCCCCUUUGUACCUAUUCCCCAUUCCCCUACCGAGCUGGGCAGUUAGCCAGCCCACUCCAACUCUCGGAACCAUGUUUGCAGACUUGGAUUAUGACAUCGAAGAGGAUAAACUCGGAAUCCCGACUGUGCCUGGGAAGGUGACCCUGCAGAAGGAUGCUCAGAACCUGAUCGGGAUCAGCAUUGGAGGAGGGGCCCAGUACUGUCCCUGCCUCUAUAUCGUCCAGGUAUUUGACAACACCCCAGCAGCCUUGGACGGCACAGUGGCAGCUGGCGAUGAGAUCACCGGUGUCAAUGGCAGGUCAAUCAAAGGGAAAACUAAGGUGGAGGUGGCGAAGAUGAUUCAGGAGGUGAAGGUAAGGGCUGCUGCAGAGCAGGUGUCCAGAGGCAGCAACACAGGUUUCUGAGACCUCCAGGCUGCCAGAGGUCCCAGCAGGCCUGGAAGGGGGUAU